UAGGGAAUCUUCCACAAUGGACGCAAGUCUGAUGGAGCAACGCCGCGUGAGUGAAGAAGGUUUUCGGACCGUAAAGCUCUGUUGUUGGUGAAGAAGGAUAGAGGUAGUAACUGGCCUUUAUUUGANGGUAAUCAACCAGAAAAGUCACGGCUAACUACGUGCCAGCAGCCGCGGUAAUACGUAGGUGGCAAGCGUUGUCCGGAUUUAUUGGGCGUAAAAGCGAGCGCAGGCGGAAGAAUAAGUCUGAUGUGAAAGCCCUCGGCUUAACCGAGGA
This 274-nucleotide ribosomal RNA is filed under the name uncultured bacterium. Its description in RNAcentral is "partial 16S ribosomal RNA". It matches the Rfam family "Bacterial small subunit ribosomal RNA", at positions 355 to 619 of the family's 1533-position model. The record is from RNAcentral.